GUAGGUGGCGAACGUUAUCCGGAAUUAUUGGGCGUAAAGGGUGCGUAGAUGGUCUGACAAGUUAACAGUGGUAAAUCGAGGCUCAACCUCGUGGAAGCUGAUAAUACUGUCUGGCUCGAGUACAGAAGAGGUUAACGGAACUCCAUGUGGAGCGGUAAAAUGUGUAGAUAUAUGGACGAACACCAAUAACGGCGAAGGCAGUUAACUAUUCUGUUACUGACAUUGAGGCACGAAAGCGUGGGGAGCAAAACGGAUUAGAUACCCGUGUAGUCCACGCCCUAAACGAUGAGUGCUAGAUAUUGGGAACUUGUUUCUCAGUGUCGCUAGAUAACUCGGUAAGCACUCCGCCUGGGUAGUACGGUCGCAAGGCUG
This 372-nucleotide ribosomal RNA is filed under the name uncultured bacterium. Its description in RNAcentral is "bacterial SSU rRNA". It matches the Rfam family "Bacterial small subunit ribosomal RNA", at positions 527 to 896 of the family's 1533-position model. The record is from RNAcentral.